Long non-coding RNA from Esox lucius (northern pike), 2144 nucleotides. Lineage: Eukaryota; Metazoa; Chordata; Actinopteri; Esociformes; Esocidae. The record is from Ensembl.
AUUUGGCAUGACAUUACAAUAUUCGAUAUGUUAUCUAUAUUCUAUUGUGAAUUAAAUAUAAGUUUGAGAUUUGUAAAUUAUUCCAUUCCUUUGUUACUCACAAUUUGUACAGUGUCCCAACCUUUUUGGAAUCGGGUUUGUAUAAUGACCAUUUAUGAUCUCCAAGUAGCCUAUGUCGAUACGGCCUGAGUGACAUAGGAAAAGCAAUGCAAAGCAAGUUUAUUUGUCUAGUCAGGGGUGGUGGAAUCAGAAAUUUCAAACGUUACAAAUGCAUGAACAACAGAAAUAAGAGAAAAUGCUGAAUAAAGUGAAAUAAAAAAAUAAUACAACAAUAGCCUACGGUAGUGAUGCAAUAUUUUAUUUUGUGGUACGUUUGUAUGUGUAAUAUUCCUCGUCAUCUUAUUUUAUAUUACCUAUUAUUAUAAUUAUAGUUGUGGCUAUUACUGAGGCUGUUACGAUUGCGGUUUUUCGUGAUAAUGAUGGUCUUAUUGCGAAUCAAGCAUGAGCUUAUUUUCUGAUGUUGGUUUACUCGGUCUCUGACCAGACGUGAAUUUGAUCAUAAGGAUACGACAAACAUAAUAUUGAUGAAUAUCAGCUCAGUUGGUGAAAUGAUCAUACGAUCAUUUUAAGAUCAAGUUUUAUUGUACGCAUGUUUCAUGAAUGAGGGCAAUGUUACUGUCACGGUUCGAGAGGCAGGACACAGACCCAGAGUUGUGGUUGAAAUUCAUAAUUUUAAUACUGCUCAAAAGAAACAAAAACAAACUGGCUACAAUGACAAAAGCAGGACGUGGCCCAGGGACAGGUGGAGGCUGCCGCCCCCGAAGCAGGACAGGGUGCCGGAGUGUAGGGAGGAGGUUCCGCCACCGAAGUAGGAUGAGGCGCUGGAGCAGGAGGCCCCAGGGGAGCUGGAGGCGCCAGGGGAGCUGGAGGCCUCUCUGCCCCGGAAGCGAGACAGGCCACAGGAGCAGAGGGAGAAAGAGGUGAUGACAGAGGCUCGUCAAACCACCACUCCGGAGGUGGUGGCGGCAGCGCCUCAUCGUCCCACCCCUCCCGAGGGUGGCAGUAGGGGCUCCCCACCUCCAGGGGCUUGUCCAUCAACACCUUUCUCAUCCCUCCCAAGGAUCUCGCCUUCCUCCUCCUCUGUCACCUCUGGGUCCUCCUGCCCUCCGGGCUGCAGGGACUCCUUGUGGCAACAAGAGCAGCUCGUCAUCCUCUUCAGACACUCUCCACACUCUCCAGAAAUCGAGACUCAUCAGACCAGGCAAGAUUCUUCCAGUCUUCAACUGUCCAAUUUUGGUGAGUGUAUGCAGAUUUACAGUGUGCCAACUUACAACGGAUUCUCUCCAAAACCGAAUAAAGACGCUCUGAGGAUCCUAUCUUCAGAAGGAAAAUGCAUGCAGGCUAUUGCACAACGCAAGCUGCUUGAAGAGGUUGGGCAGUUUUGGCUUCCCAUUUUGAGCAGGCCAAGACCGGACACGCUCCACUGAUAUGCCAAAUAACUGUGUUCAUUUCAGAAUCUCUCAAAAGCUUGACAAAUUCAGAAUUUCGAUUCUUGCAUAUUUAGCAAUUGCCAAAUACGAUCAGUGAUUUUUUUUUUAAUGGUUACAUUGAGCUAUUUUAGCUAAUUCUUUUCUUAAUGCUCAGCCAUGUUUAUUUACAUUGCCCUGGAUUCUGGGAUUGGUAGACAUCUGACUAAAGAUUCGCAAAUCUGUACAGAAGACAAGCAAAUGUAAAUUACCAUCUGAUCUCAGAGACUCAUAACCUUUAUCUUUGGUUGAUUCGGAUAAACAAACAUGGCAGCACCCCCAAACAUACAUCUACUGUACCUUUGGGUUACUUAACUUCUAGAAAGUUUUUACACCAUGAUUUUGAUCAGUAGUCCGCUCUCCUGGGAUAUGGUGAUUUGUUCUAGUCACUAAUAUCAUUAAUUUUUGUGUCAGAGAUAUGACUGCUUGUGUAGGUACAUAAGUGACCUUUCAUGUCCUGAUUUGAACAAUUGCUUUCUCUGUUAUUGUUUGAAAAUCUACACCAUAAAAUGUAUGACAUUGAGGAAAAAGGUUAUAAACACUGUUUGAGAUAAAGUGUUUGUAAGUAAAUAAAAGUGUAGUCUGACCAGUGAUUGUUGCGUCACUUAUACUUCGACG